GGAGGGGAGGCCACUGGCCCUGGAGGACCUGAAGGCUGAGGUCCGGACCCUGCACAUCCUUGUGGACCUGAUGCGAGUCCAGCACCUGCGGGACCUGCAGGACCUGCGGCAGGAGCUGUGCCAGGAGCGGGCUCAGCGCCAGGCGCUGCAGGCGGAGAUCGAGCGAGUGAGGAAGGGGCUGCCCUGUUAGCAUGGGGGGGCUGCGGUGCCCACCCAUGGCACGGGGCAGGUGGGUGGCACGUAGUUCCGUGUGCCCCCCCAGCCUGGUUCUGCACCCAUCGGACACAAAUGCCCACCCCACACCCAGGCACUGCUCCUUGAAGCAUAACAGCCCCUG
Long non-coding RNA from Vidua chalybeata, 337 nucleotides. RefSeq lists it as uncharacterized. NCBI's taxonomy places the organism in Eukaryota, Metazoa, Chordata, Aves, Passeriformes, Viduidae. The record is from RefSeq and is a predicted model, not a curated record. The transcript is spliced from 3 exons.